GCUACCCAACAAAGGAAUCUUAGUUCCACUUUAGAACCAAAAAUACACAAUAAUUAUCUAAAGACAGUCAAUAGGGGUACAGCUCUAUUGAAACAGGAUACAACCUGAAUUUGAGAGAAACCUAAAAAAGACCGACCAGUAGGCCUUAAAGCAGCCACCAAAAACAAUAUCGUUAAAGAAUUAAUACCAAAAAUCUAAAAACCAACUGAAAUCUCCAAACAAACUAAAGGUAAACCCAUAAUAAUGGGAUUAAUUAUGCUAAAACUAAUAAUAAGACGACCUCUCUACAACGCACCCAUCCACUAGAAACGGAUAAACCACUAGUCAUUAACAGACCACAACAGGAAACAAAUUAAUCAAUACCCACCUUCACAUACACUGUGACCCCAACACAGGUGCGUUAAAAAGAAAGAUAAAACAUUAUAAAAGGAACUCGGCAAUCAAAAACCCCAACUGUUUAACAAAAACAUAACCUUUAGCCCAAACAAAUAUUAAAGGCAACGCCUGCCCAGUGAACAAUUAAACGGCCGCGGUACCCUA
Molecule: ribosomal RNA, 540 nt
Filed under: Natrix natrix (European grass snake)
Lineage: Eukaryota; Metazoa; Chordata; Lepidosauria; Squamata; Natricidae
Description: partial 16S ribosomal RNA
Source: RNAcentral